GCGUGAACGAUGAAGGCCUUAGGGUUGUAAAGUUCUUUCAGCGAGGAAGAUAAUGACGGUACUCGCAGAAGAAGCCCCGGCUAACUCCGUGCCAGCAGCCGCGGUAAUACGGAGGGGGCUAGCGUUGUUCGGAAUUACUGGGCGUAAAGCGCACGUAGGCGGAUCAGUCAGUUAGGGGUGAAAUCCCAGGGCUCAACCCUGGAACUGCCUUUAAUACUGCUGAUCUGGAGGUCGAGAGAGGUGAGUGGAAUUCCGAGUGUAGAGGUGAAAUUCGU
This 275-nucleotide ribosomal RNA is filed under the name uncultured bacterium. RNAcentral's name for it is "partial 16S ribosomal RNA". It matches the Rfam family "Bacterial small subunit ribosomal RNA", at positions 399 to 691 of the family's 1533-position model. The record is from RNAcentral.